RNAcentral lists this ribosomal RNA (497 nucleotides) under uncultured bacterium. Its description in RNAcentral is "partial 16S ribosomal RNA". It matches the Rfam family "Bacterial small subunit ribosomal RNA", at positions 28 to 507 of the family's 1533-position model. The record is from RNAcentral.
GAUGAACGCUGGCGGCGUGCCUAAUACAUGCAAGUCGAGCGAACGGACGAGAAGCUUGCUUCACUGAUGUUAGCGGCGGACGGGUGAGUAACACGUGGAUAACCUACCUAUAAGACUAGGAUAACUUCGGGAAACCGGAGCUAAUACCGGACAAUAUUUUGAACCGCAUGGUUCAAAAGUGAAAGACGUUCUGGCUGUCACUGAUAGAUGGAACCUCGCUGCAUUGGUAAGUUGGUAAGGUAACGGCUUACCAAGGCAACGAUGCAUAGCCGACCUGAGAGGGUGAACGGCCACACUGGAACUGAGACACGGUACAGACUCCGACGGGAGGCCGCAGUAGGGAAGCUUGGGAAAUGGGCGAAAGCCUGACCGAGCGACGCCGCGUGAGUGAUGAAGGGCUUCGGACCGUAAAACUCUGUUAUUAGGGAAGAACGUAUGUGUAAGUAACUGUGCACUUUUUGACGGUACCUAAAGAAAAAGCAACGGCUAACUACGUG